RNAcentral lists this ribosomal RNA (500 nucleotides) under uncultured bacterium. RNAcentral describes it as "partial 16S ribosomal RNA". It matches the Rfam family "Bacterial small subunit ribosomal RNA", at positions 29 to 523 of the family's 1533-position model. The record is from RNAcentral.
AUUGAACGCUGGCGGCAUGCCUUACACAUGCAAGUCGAACGGUAACAGGUCUUCGGAUGCUGACGAGUGGCGAACGGGUGAGUAAUACAUCGGAACGUGCCCAAUCGUGGGGGAUAACGCAGCGAAAGCUGUGCUAAUACCGCAUAAGAUCUACGGAUGAAAGCGGGGGAUCGCAAGACCUCGCGCGAAUGGAGCGGCCGAUGGCAGAUUAGGUAGUUGGCGGGGUAAAAGCCCACCAAGCCGACGAUCUGUAGCUAGUCUGAGAGGACGACCAGCCACACUGGGACUGAGACACGGCCCAGACUCCUACGGGAGGCAGCAGUGGGGAAUUUUGGACAAUGGGCGCAAGCCUGAUCCAGCAAUGCCGCGUGCAGGAUGAAGGCCUUCGGGUUGUAAAGUGCUGUCAGAAGGGAAGAAGGUCGCCCAGUCGAACAGAUUGGGAGGCUUGACGGUACCUUCAGAGGAAGCCACGGCUAAUUACGUGCCAGCCGCCGCAGUAA